UACGAAGGGGGCUAGCGUUGCUCGGAAUCACUGGGCGUAAAGGGUGCGUAGGCGGGUUUUUAAGUCAGGGGUGAAAUCCUGGAGCUCAACUCCAGAACUGCCUUUGAUACUGAAGAUCUUGAGUCCGGGAGAGGUGAGUGGAACUGCGAGUGUAGAGGUGAAAUUCGUAGAUAUUGGGAAGAACACCGGUGGCGAAGGCGGCGCUCUGGACCGAGACUGACGCUGAGGCGCGAAAGCGUGGGGAGCAAACAGG
Molecule: ribosomal RNA, 253 nt
Filed under: uncultured bacterium
Lineage: Bacteria
Description: partial 16S ribosomal RNA
Rfam family: Bacterial small subunit ribosomal RNA
Source: RNAcentral